UUUAUAAUAUUUUUCUUUUUUAGUUCAAGUGCAAUGUCUUCAAAUAUUGUUUUGUUUCUUUUAACUUUACUGUCCAUGAGGCUCAGUAUAUGUUUCUCGUUCACAAUUGACAGCAUUUCGUGUACAUGUUUGUCACUCCAAAUAUCACGUUUGUUUAAUUUGUCCAUUUUAAUUGAUCAAGUUUAAACAAAUAAACAGUCACGAAUUUUAUAAUGAAGCUUAGCAAAAAUGUAAUUUACGCGCCUUUUAUGUUUUACUUCAUACAGAGUUGCAUGAAACAACCGUGUGGACUAAUCCCGUGUUUACAUGCACACUCAAUACGAUUCAUCAACUCAUAACUCGCAUUCAAAAUGUGAUUUAUGGUGGCACGGUUAAAAGUUUCAAUUCGAUUUAAGAAUGUGUUUACAUGGGUGUGUCCAAAUAACAUGGUUUGACUUAGCACGGAUUAAAGCGACAUAUAAACAAGUUUCUCAUGUUGAAUAUACAAUCCCUCGUACAAUCAGCAAUAAUUUAUUUUGGUGUAGUUUCGCCUAAUGAAUAUCUUCUCUCUUCACAAAAUUUGAAAACUGCCUCCACACCCGGCACGUUAGACAGCAAGCCGUAUGUAUUUCUUGUGGGCUUUGGAAUCCAUAUACGUAAACAAAGUUUGAAAUUCUAAAGUAAAAUGUGAGCAAAAGUGAAAAUUUAAAGACGAAAGUCUCGAAAAAGAUUUUCUCCGCAAAACUAUAAAUUCAGAAUCCAUCUACAUAUGUAUGUGCUCCUUGAUUCGAAUCGCAAGCGUCCAGACUUAAAAAUAAAAAUUCAUUCAUAGACAUGUCAUUUUUAACGCAUAGACAUGUCAUUUUGACGCAGAGGCGCCAAAAU
Molecule: long non-coding RNA, 864 nt
Organism: Rhagoletis pomonella (apple maggot)
Lineage: Eukaryota; Metazoa; Arthropoda; Insecta; Diptera; Tephritidae
Exons: 3
Source: RefSeq, a predicted model, not a curated record